GUACUCUCUUUGGCAGCACAUAUACAAAAAUUGAACACUAUAGAAAAGAUUAGCAUGGCUCCUGUGCAAGGAUGGCAUGCACGUUUGUGAAGCGUACCAUAUUUUU
This is a small nuclear RNA of Loxodonta africana (African savanna elephant), 106 nucleotides long. The record is from Ensembl. NCBI's taxonomy places the organism in Eukaryota, Metazoa, Chordata, Mammalia, Proboscidea, Elephantidae.